CUUGUAGGCGGUUCGGUAAGUCGGGUGUGAAACCUCUGGGCUCAACUCAGAGACGCCACCCGAUACUGCUGUGACUAGAGUGCGGUAGGGGAGCGGGGAAUUCCUGGUGUAGCGGUGAAAUGCGCAGAUAUCAGGAGGAACACCAGUGGCGAAGGCGCCGCUCUGGGCCGUAACUGACGCUGAGAAGCGAAAGCGUGGGUAGCAAACAGGAUUAGAUACCCUGGUAGUCCACGCCGUAAACGUUGGGCACUAGGUGUGGGUCUCAACCAACGAGAUCCGCGCCGUCGCUAACGCAUUAAGUGCCCCGCCUGGGGAGUACGGCCGCAAGGCUAAA
RNAcentral lists this ribosomal RNA (334 nucleotides) under uncultured Ilumatobacter sp. Its description in RNAcentral is "bacterial SSU rRNA". It matches the Rfam family "Bacterial small subunit ribosomal RNA", at positions 568 to 898 of the family's 1533-position model. Lineage: Bacteria; Bacillati; Actinomycetota; Acidimicrobiia; Acidimicrobiales; Ilumatobacteraceae. The record is from RNAcentral.